UUCACCCUCCCUCCCUCUCUCAUCCUCAUUUCCCACCAUAAAUUCUCUCCUCCCUUUUUCCUCACUCUCAACACACCCCACCCUUCUCUUUCUCUUGUCUCGUUCUAUUUCAUUCGGUUGCUUUUUGCUCCAUUCUCAUUCCUUCUCUCUGAUUCCUUUGCUCUCCUGCUGUCUCAUUAGAAAGAGCUUCCUUUUGGUGCAGCUUCUUGAAGCUCAGAAGGUUGGGUCUUUAUUUCACUUCUGACAUUUUUUGUUGCCAUUGAUUGGAUAUUAUUUGGAUGGUACCAGCCUUGUAUGCAUGUUGUAUGCCAGCUGUGUUUCUCCUUUAAGCAAAAUGACUUUGAUACACUUCAGCCCAGUGACUGAGUCUGUUCCAGUUUUCAGUAAGCUGAUCCUGCUGGCAGAGGCUACCAGAGAGACUUCCUUUUCUGGAAGGACCUGAUGCAUGGUGUCAGUGAUCCUCUGCCUCUUAACCCUGCUCCCCUUUUACACCCCUCUCUCUUUCCCUUUCUAUCUAUCUCUCUGCCAGGCUGUCUGUGGAGAGACUAAUUUCAUUUCACGUCUGUGGAGAGAGUGCCAGUAGAGCUCAGUCAGUCGGCGGAGUCAGGAGACUUGCGUGGAUGACGCUGCCUUCUUCUCUCUUUUAGUCUUUCUUUUUGUCACUAACACCAGUAGCUCAGCUCACUCUUUUCAUCCACCAUCUCCGUCAAUCUAAUCUCAAUCUCAGUUAUUUUUCUUUUUUGGAGAGUGUCUCCAGUUUCCAUCCACAGGUAGGCAGCACCACAUUCAGGCAACAAUACAGCCCUUUAUCCUACUUUCUUCUAUUUUCUGGUACUUUCUUUAUAAUAUACCCACAUCUUCCUCCACCUUCUCAUUCUCCAUCUCUAUCUUUCUUCUCUCCUCUGCCUCCACACCCUGCCUGUGGGGGUGCUGGUGAGAUUUCGCCAAUUGUGCACACCGAAGGCAGCAAGUGGGAGUGGACCUCAAGCAAGUGUGCUCACAAAGUGUGUGCAUGUGUGUGUUUUUGCAAAUGUGGAGAGGAAGAAGAGAGGAGGAGGAGGAGAAAGAGGAGUAGGUGGAGGAGGGAGUGAGAGAGAGAAAGCAUCAACACAGUCUUCCCAGUGUCUCCUCUCUUCUCACACUCUCCCAGUCUGCAUGGAGCAAAUCCUUCUUCUUUGCUCCUAAAUGGACAUUUCUCUGGCAACCUAAAGUCGCUGAAGGCAGCUCCACUCCACAAUCUCCUACAUGCUGGAUUUUAAUACAAGUAAGGAGCAGAGAGGAACUGGGGGAGAUCUCUGAAUAUGAGUGAGGAGGCUAAGGAGAAAGCAGGAGGCGGGAAAGGAGCACAUCGCAAGAAGAAAGGCAAAAAGGUUUUUCAAGCAGACUUCCAAACCUCCUCCUAAGUUUACAUUCAAGACAAGUGCAGCCACAUGCUGAAUUAGAGAGAGGUCAAAAAGGUCACCGAGGCUGAUGCUGCUGUUUGGUCCUGUUGCACCCAUG
Long non-coding RNA from Girardinichthys multiradiatus, 1500 nucleotides. RefSeq lists it as uncharacterized. The transcript is spliced from 3 exons. Lineage: Eukaryota; Metazoa; Chordata; Actinopteri; Cyprinodontiformes; Goodeidae. The record is from RefSeq and is a predicted model, not a curated record.